GUUUGGAGGUAAAAAAUGCCAUCACCCUCUUAACCAAGCUUCUCUUUGUCAGAAAUUCGGUUUCCAGUCCUCAAUGACUUUGCAUUUCUGUCUCCACAGCCUUUUUGAUAUUUCAUUAACACACAUGAAAAUCCUUCUGAAUGAUGUUCCUGUGCUUUGUAAAAACGCAUCUAGCAUCCCACAGGUGAUAUAGACAGGAGACAGGGAGAUACUGAGUAGAAGAGGGUGGUUUCCUGGCAAGAACCCCACCCUCAAGCCUGAAGAACCUUGGCCCUAAAUGAGGACAGGCAUUCCUGUUUUUGCACUCAAGAAGUUGCCUUUCGGCCUGCUACGUUCCCUAUCCUGCACCCAUAUAAACCUCAAACCCCAGGCUCCAGGAGCAGACCAGCAGAUGAAGAGAAGCAGAGGGACGGCAGAAGGACACAGCAGGGAGACAGGAAGAGGAACGUUCAGCUGGGGGUGGUUGGAAAGGAGUUUGGCAGCUGGACAGCCCAACUCCAGGGGAAGAUCAUCUUCCCACUCCAUCCCCCACUUCCGCUUUCCCAUCCAUCCCGCCAAGAGCCACCUCCACCACUCGACGAAACCCUGCGUUGAUCCUUCAAGCCCGUGUGUGACCCGAUACUCCCGGGAUGCUGGAUAAGAACUCGGGAUACAGAAAGAUUUCACACUGGCCCUCUGACCUUGCAAAAAGGCAGAGGGUCCAUAGAGCUGGUUAACACUUAAAGCCAUCUGUGGACAGCAAGGCUAAGACAGCAUUGUAGCACUGGGAUUGCAGGCGCCCACCUCGAGACCCUACCAUGGGGCUGGAGCCCAAAGUGCUCGCCCCAGCUCUGCAUCUGCCCUUCUGCGUGCUCCCUUUCCCGCAAGGGGUUUGAGAAGCAGCAGGACGGUGACCUGUCAGUCACUCCACACCCCUGUCACAAGUACUGAGAGGGGGAACCGGGAACUCUCCCAUUUCACAGGGACUCUAACUUACUUCCUCAUCACUAAGUUUAGAGUUGCUCCACACUUGCUUUUUUCUUCUGUGGGUAUAGGGGAGUUGGAGUUGCUAAAAUGUGCUGCAACCCAUGUUUUCCCUUUAGCCUGGAGUACUCUUGCUUGGUCCCUUCCCUCAUCCUACUCUCACCCUACAGUCACACUCCCAAAAGUUUGCCCGGAUAUGGCUUACUUACUGUACCCAUUCUUCAUGUUACCUCCUCAAAGCCUUCUUUGAAACUUUCCACCUUCAAGAUCAGGUAUCCUGUAGUACUGAUAUAUAUGUAGUUGGUGCUAAAUAAAUGUGAUUGGGUGGAUUAACGAAUACAUGGACAGUUGGAUGGAGACCAAGCAAGGUGGUGUAAUCCCAUUCUGUGAAAAUUUUAAAAAAUAAGAAAUUGAACUCACAAAGGGACAACAAAUAUUUUGGUUUCCAGGGAAGAUAAAAGAACAUUCUAUAUGUAUUGUGAUUACUUUUUUCCAGGGACUCUUUAAUUCCUAACUUCCUAGCAAGGAGUGACCAAGACAGCUUUUUGAGCUAUCAUCUGGCUCUAUGACUGUGGUGUGAGGAGGGUUUGCACUUGGUGCCAACACAGAGAAAUCACCCUGUUUAGAGUAGAGGGGAUGAAGGACGGGGGGAGAAAUCACAUCCCCUGAACUCUCAGCUAUGGAAAGGCCUGGCUCUUGGCACAGUUACCGGGUAUUACCAGGUACCAAUGUCUGUCUUGGAUGACUCCAAUACUCUCUCCCUCUACUCUUCCCUUGUCCCUCACUCCCUGACCCUCGCCUCUCUGGGCAUCAGCAGAGGGAAGCAGGGGCCUCUGCCAUCCCAUCAGCCUGUACCUUCCUGCCAGACAGCCUUGGAGAUGAUUGUCACUGCAGUGGCAUCUGGGGAACCCUGCUUUCCUCUGUCUUGGCUCAUAAUUUUUCAGAGCCGGAGGAGCAGCCACUCUAAGCAGCUCUGCACUGCUGUGCUUGGAUGCUCACAGUUCAGACACGUCAUCUCCCUCCUCAGCAGAGAACAAGCUCACAUAGCUGCUGCACAAAUUUAUGGCUCAGCCUGAACAUCCAUUAGCUAUGCUUCCCUUUUAUUUUUUAAAAAUGUUAAUUAUACAAAUAAUACAUGAACACAUUUUAGUUGUAAAAUUUAAAAUCUAAGCAUAAAAGUAAAGCUAAAGUCUACUUUGACCAUACGCUUUCUAGACCAUACCCCUUUCUAGAGGUAACUGUUGUUACCUUCUUUUGUGCAUUUAGGCUCUUAUACAGAAAUACAGAAAAAAUGGUUUUCAUAUUUAAAAAAUUUAAAAAUCAUGUUAUAUAUAGUGUUCAGUAAAUUGUUUUCUUAUUUCACUAAUAUUUCUUUUCCUAUUAAUAUAUACAGAUUAACCUCAUUCUUCCUAACUGUUGCAUACGGAAUGGCUAUGGAUAUAGUAGCAUUUAUUAACCCAUUCCUUAUUCAUAGAUAGACUCAUUAGAGUUUUUUUUUUCCCACUAGAGACAACACAGCUACGAAGAUCCUUGUGAACUCUAGUUUGUGCAUGAGUGGUUCCCUGAAACAGCAUGGUAGGCACAUAUGAAAUUUUAAUGCAUACCAGCAAUUGUCCUUUAAAAGCGCUAAAGCAAUUUACAUUCCACCAGCAAGAUAUUUAAGGACAAUUUAAUACAUCCUAAGUAACACUUGAUUAUUUCAUAUAUUAAAUUCUUCAUAUUUGGUAUACCUUUAUUAUUAUUAUUCAUUUAAUCAUUCAUUGGCUUAUUCAACAAACGUGUAUUGAGUUUCAGAUAUGUUUCACCCACCAGGCAACAGAGUUGUAAAGCUAGCAGCUCUGCAAACAGCACCUGCAUGAUGAUUUCAGUGUCAGGAAAGCCUCUACACCAGAGCAGCCCCCUUCUUCUGCUUGCUGUAAGUGUCUUUAGCAGGGGAUCUCAGAUCCCCUUGCCCAGUGAGCCAUUAGGCUGUCAGUGCAAACCUGCUCAUGGGAAGUCACAUUCACUGGAGUCACUCACACCACGCUAGAGGCCCCAUGGGCUCAUUCCUGAGAGAGGGCUGUGUUGGAGGAGUUAGGAAAGGAGGAGGGAAAGCUGCCAAUUGUAGGCAGGGGUGAAGAUGGGAGAUCUUGUCUACUUCAAAGCUCCUCCUUGAAUCAGCAGGUUGCUACUAUAUGUGUGGUGGCACAUUAGUGUGUUUUUUCUUACAUUUUAAAGAUAAUUUACAUGGACUGUUAUAAAGGGUCUAGUAUAAUAAUGAGGAUGAUGAUGAAAAUAAUAAUGUUUCAUUGACUCUUAACACUCUAUUGAUUGUGACAUGAGCCAUUAUUUUGUGAGCCACUGAGAAAAAAGUCCGGAAGAGAAGCAGAUAAUCACCUCUUGCAAACCAGUGAAAGCUGACCCUAGAACAACACUAGAUAGAUUUCAUUAUUAUUACCAUUUUAGAGAUAAGAUAACUGAGGUUUAGAAAGAUUAGAUAAUUUGUGCAGGACUAUAUAGCUAGUAAAUAGCAAAACUUGCCACUUCACCACUGCAUCCUUACAAAACCCUCACUAAUAGGGGCAUGAGUAGUAUGGAUGAAGGACUUGGAAUCAUUCUUACAACAGCCUGCUCUGAUGAGCAGUCAACUUCAGCUGACUCCUAAAUCCCACUGCUGGAUCAUUCUUGGGGAUUACGGGAACAACUGAGUUCUGUUCUCAUAUAGUCCCCGCCCUUUUCCCUCUGUGGAUAUAUUUGUUCCUUCUUAAUUCAACACAACAAACAUUUAUUGAGCACUUACUGUAUGCAAAACAUUGUCCUAGGCACCAUCCUCUUGGCUUCCAAAGGACAUGGGAAGGCACCACUCUAACUUCCCAGUGGAAUCGGAAGAAUAACUGCCUACUAAAUAUUAGAACUACCUAGAAAAACACAUGAAAUCAUCUCUGAAAAUUUUGAAAAAUAAAUCAGGAUUCUAUUAGUGUUGAGAUAGAAUAAUAGAACAUUUUUAGCUAAGAAAGAAAAUUAAAACCUGCUUCUACCAUAUACCCUCCUCCUUCCUCCUAAAUACUUUAAUUAAGCUCUCCAUGAGAGGUCACCAGGAUGAAGACAUAGCAGCUCUGACUUUUCUCAUUAUCCAUCUCCUAGAGACUAGAUGUGAUUAGACUGACUGAAUCUUUUGAGCCCAGGGAAGCAUCGUGAAAUUUGUGGUGUCCCUGAAAAGAUAUAUCUGAAAAGAUAUUAUCAUUAGUUGUGCAAAUAUCCCAAAUAAGGGAGCACUAUAGAGAAUUUAAACUUUGCAAGUUCACUGAUGGAUAAAAAUUCUGUAUGUGUGCAUCUGUCACUUCUUGGAUAUCUGACUCUGCUUCCAAAGAGUAGAUUAUAUCCAGAUGGGCUUCUGUCACCUGGCUACAGCAACAGCAUGCAACAUUUUAAAUUUAUUUAUUUGCAGCCAUACCCUGUGUUCUUUUGUUUUCCCUGGCUACUUCCCGCAUAGCCCAGAGGCAGGUGUUACAAUCCCAGUGGCCUGAUCCUCUUGUAAGAACACCACCAGCACACCAGGGCAUGACUGCCUAGGCUGCUGCCAGAUGGGGAGAUCUUGAAUGGAAAUAGUCACACAUUGAAAUGGUGCCAAGUAGCAGGCAGUCUUGCAAAACCAACAUGGCUUUGGAGACACAAUACCUCUGAUGAGUGAGAGGCGUGGUGGUAUUUGUGGAAACCCAGCUGUUGCAGACGGUGGCAUUAACUUGCCCAGCUUUGGCGACAGUUGUCUGAGUUUGGGAUCACUGAACCUUAAUAUAGAAUUUUUUCUGGCCCUAGUAUUAUCUGCGGGUAAACCGUAGCCUUGGGUCUCAGCUGCAGCUGUAUACAAUAUUUCUAAAGACAGACUUUUCCAGUUCGACUAGCGAGAAUGUAUUAAAUCACAUGGCCAUGUGUUCACUUCUAAACUGGAAAUUCAACUUUAGUUGGGAACUGGCCUAGCAGGAGAACAAAGGCCAUAUAAAAGUUUCAAGGAAGAGGAAAUUGUUCUCUUACAUGACUGUGGACCUACUAAAUGAAGCAAUAUUGCAAGAUUCAGCUAGGAGGUUGAGUGAAAACAGAAGCCUUGGGCUGCCUUCUGGCCACUUUGAACAAAGAGACAUAAAGCAUGUUUAGGAGGAAGGAGUGUGGAUUGAGCUUUGAUCUUCUGGACACUGUUAAACCCACUCUUACAUCCAAACAUAAGAAGGGCUGAUUAUCUGUUAACUUUCUCUAGUUUCCUUCCUCGUUCCAUCUUCUCAGUGGGAAAAUGAGUGGGUUUAUUCUCAACUCCCUUUCAGCCUCAUGACUUUACAAAUGAUUUAUUGGAUGCCUGUCCUUGUGCCCAGCCAUGUACCAGGAAGACUGAGUGAUAUAAAGGACUUCUAUUUUUGAGAAGUUGAACAAUGAAAUAUGCACUCACUGUACAGCACCAGUAAUAAAAGUGAGGGAGAGAGGGGGAGGCUCACUUAAGUGUGGUCUAGUUUUCUCGCUGUAAUGAUGGCAGGCUCUGAUCAGCCUCUUUUUCUUCUCUCUUUAAUUCCUCUGUUCUUUCUUUCUAUGAGACAGGAGCAAGAAUUAAAUGAAUGACGUGAGGUAGGAUCUAGAGAACUCCAGAAAAUUGAAUUGUCUGAGCUGUAGUGGCUUGACUGGCUGGCUGAGAUAAUCAGUCCUCCAAAUUGGUCCUGCAAUCUUAAGCUAGGCAUUGGUAGACUGUGCCAAACCCACACAUGGUUUUCACUGAUCUCUCUAUUUGUUCUCAGUUUCCACCUACCUCCCAACUCCUAAGCCUUUUCCCCCAGAUGUCCAUGCCCCAGGCUCUUUAAAAUUACUGUUUAGCUGCCAUUUACCAAGCUCUGAAAUGUCCCAUGUGCUAUGUGGGUGCUCCAUGAUGUUCCAAGGGAGCAGUGUUGUAAUCCAUUUCAAAGGUGAGAAAUACAUUCUGCCUGAAUAUCCAGUAGGUGCUGGAGUUUUAAUGCAAACUUGGAAUUGCCCAUUCUUAGAGCCUGUGCUCUUUUUCUCUUGAAGUUUGUACAAUGUGAGUUUUUGUAACACAGGGAAUGAAUAACGCUAAAAUACUCACAGGGCACAUCUGAGACUUUGCCUGGCAACUUACUAGGAUGAUAAGCUUCCUUUGUUGAAGUUUCUUUAGAUCUCAGAUUCCCUAGUUAUGAAAUAAGUGGGGUUGGACUGGCUGAUCCCACUCCAACCUCUUAGAGUCUGUGAGAGCUCAGGACAGAGCAGUUAUAUUUCUGUUAAUCCUGGGAAUUCUGCCUCUUAGGCCGGAGUCCUGGAAACUUAGCUAUUGGAGAGUAAUCCGCUUCAGACAAUGAGCCCUCUAAAUGAGAUUUUUUCAGACUAGAUUGUAGUAUUUCAGCUCUUUGUUCCCAUGAACACACACAUGCUUGGAGGUCCAUGAGACCAAAUCUGUUCUUUGGGAAAGAUGAUAUCCCUCUUUCUUUGGGAAAGAUAAUAUCCCAUCUUUGGGAAAGAUAUCAAAUGCAGGAAUGUAAGCAAUUCCUGCAUUUGAAAAAGACCAAAUUUGGGGUAUGUCCUGGGGGAAACUGUAUUUGAAGAAGAAAGUUUAUUACAAAGCUUUAUGGAAGGAAAGAAGCUUAAGCGGUUCAUGUAGAUGAGCUCUAAGGCACUGCUGAAAUAGGGGCCUAGGAAAGAAAAAGUGAUUUAACCUGAUCAUAUGGAACAGAGGUAAAGCAGCAGCACUUUUACUGCCAAGAUAGAUGAAAGGGAUGAAGAGAAAAAAGCCAAGGGCAUAUUACAGUAGGCUUGAUAAAUGUCAUCCUGAAAUCUAACUCAGUAUUUGAAUGCUAUAAAUUGUGUUAAGAAAUAUAAGGCCAAAUAAACCUUUGGGACUGUUUGUGACUGAUUCAAGGCGACUGAGUUUAAACUGCUGCUGAUGAAAUGGAUGAG
Molecule: long non-coding RNA, 6885 nt
Filed under: Homo sapiens (human)
Lineage: Eukaryota; Metazoa; Chordata; Mammalia; Primates; Hominidae
Description: long non-coding RNA NONHSAT219124.1
Source: RNAcentral